Molecule: ribosomal RNA, 500 nt
Filed under: uncultured bacterium
Lineage: Bacteria
Description: partial 16S ribosomal RNA
Rfam family: Bacterial small subunit ribosomal RNA
Source: RNAcentral
AUUGAACGCUGGCGGCAUGCCUUACACAUGCAAGUCGAACGGCAGCACGGGAGCAAUCCUGGUGGCGAGUGGCGAACGGGUGAGUAAUAUAUCGGAACGUGCCCAGUCGGGGGGGAUAACGCAGCGAAAGCUGUGCUAAUACCGCAUACGAUCUAAGGAUGAAAGCGGGGGAUCGCAAGACCUCGCGCGAUUGGAGCGGCCGAUAUCUGAUUAGCUAGUUGGUGGGGGAAAGGACCACCAAGGCGACGAUCUGUAGCUGGUCUGAGAGGACGACCAGCCACACUGGAACUGCGACACGGUCCAGACACCUACGGGAGGCAGCAGUGGGGAAUUUUGGACAAUGGGCGCAAGCCUGAUCCAGCAAUGCCGCGUGCAGGAUGAAGGCCUUCGGGUUGUAAACUGCUUUUGUACGGAACGAAACGGCCCUUUCUAAUACAGGGGGCUAAUGACGGUACCGUAAGAAUAAGCACCGGCUAACUACGUGCCAGCAGCCGCGGUAA